UGACUACGAUGAUACCAUUCCAAUCUUGGAC
This 31-nucleotide non-coding RNA is filed under the name Rattus norvegicus (Norway rat). Lineage: Eukaryota; Metazoa; Chordata; Mammalia; Rodentia; Muridae. The record is from RNAcentral.